RNAcentral lists this ribosomal RNA (440 nucleotides) under uncultured bacterium. RNAcentral describes it as "partial 16S ribosomal RNA". It matches the Rfam family "Bacterial small subunit ribosomal RNA", at positions 338 to 795 of the family's 1533-position model. The record is from RNAcentral.
CCUACGGGAGGCUGCAGUGGGGAAUAUUGCACAAUGGGGGAAACCCUGAUGCAGCGACGCCGCGUGAGUGAAGAAGUAAUUCGGUAUGUAAAGCUCUAUCAGCAGGGAAGAAAAUGACGGUACCUGAGUAAGAAGCCCCGGCUAACUACGUGCCAGCAGCCGCGGUAAUACGUAGGGGGCAAGCGUUAUCCGGAUUUACUGGGUGUAAAGGGAGCGUAGACGGCAGUGCAAGUCUGGAGUGAAAGGCGGGGGCUCAACCCUCGGACUGCUCUGGAAACUGUACGGCUGGAGUGCAGGAGAGGUAAGUGGAAUUCCUGGUGUAGCGGUGAAAUGCGUAGAUAUUAGGAGGAACACCAGUGGCGAAGGCGGCUUACUGGACUGUAACUGACGUUGAGGCUCGAAAGCGUGGGGAGCAAACAGGAUUAGAUACCCGAGUAGUC